RNAcentral lists this transfer RNA (89 nucleotides) under Ignavibacteriota bacterium. RNAcentral describes it as "Ignavibacteriae bacterium (activated sludge metagenome) tRNA-Leu". It matches the Rfam family "tRNA". Rfam says of the family: Transfer RNA (tRNA) molecules are approximately 80 nucleotides in length. Their secondary structure includes four short double-helical elements and three loops (D, anti-codon, and T loops). RNAcentral also lists the same sequence under 1 other name. The record is from RNAcentral. Lineage: Bacteria; Pseudomonadati; Ignavibacteriota.
GCCCGGGUGGCGGAAUUGGUAGACGCGCAGGACUUAAAAUCCUGUUGCCUGCAAGGGCAGUACCGGUUCGACCCCGGUCCCGGGUACCA